CCUACGGGCGGCAGCAGUCGGGAAUAUUGCACAAUGGGGGAAACCCUGAUGCAGCGACGCCGCGUGAGUGAAGAAGUAUUUCGGUAUGUAAAGCUCUAUCAGCAGGGAAGAAAAUGACGGUACCUGAUUAAGAAGCCCCGGCUAACUACGUGCCAGCAGCCGCGGUAAUACGUAGGGGGCAAGCGUUAUCCGGAUUUACUGGGUGUAAAGGGAGCGUAGACGGGAGCACAAGUUUGGGGUGAAAUGCCGGGGCUUAACCCCGGAACUGCAUUGGAAACUGAGCUGCUGGAGUGCAGGAGAGGAAAGUGGAAUUCCUAGUGUAGCGGUGAAAUGCGUAGAUAUUAGGAGGAACACCAGUGGCGAAGGCGACUUACUGGACUGUAACUGACGUUGAGGCUCGAAAGCGUGGGGAGCAAACAGGAUUAGAUACCCGUGUAGUC
Molecule: ribosomal RNA, 440 nt
Filed under: uncultured bacterium
Lineage: Bacteria
Description: partial 16S ribosomal RNA
Rfam family: Bacterial small subunit ribosomal RNA
Source: RNAcentral